This 468-nucleotide ribosomal RNA is filed under the name uncultured bacterium. RNAcentral's name for it is "partial 16S ribosomal RNA". It matches the Rfam family "Bacterial small subunit ribosomal RNA", at positions 28 to 507 of the family's 1533-position model. The record is from RNAcentral.
GACGAACGCUGGCGGCGUGCUUAACACAUGCAAGUCGAACGAACAGGCCCUGCUCUUGUGUGUUGCUCGAUUGGCGCACGGGUGAGUAACACGUGAGUAACCUGCCCUUGACUUUGGGAUAACUUCAGGGGACUGGGGCUCAUACCGGGUAGGAGCUCCUGCAGCAUGGUGGUGGAUGGAAAGUUUCGGCGGUUCGGGCUGGUUUCGAGGCUUAUGAGCUUCUUGGUGGAGUAGUUGCAUACCAAGCCUGCGACGGCUAGCCGGCAUGAGAGGGUUGACGGGCACAUGGGGCCUGAGAUACGGAGCAGUAUCCUACGGGACGCAGCAGGGGGGAGUAUUGCACAGCGGGCGGAAGUCUGAUGUAGAGACGCCGCGUGCGGGAUGACGGCUUUCGGGGGGUAAACCGCUUUGGCCGGUGACGAAGAGUGCGUGACGGUAAUGGGUAAGGAAGCACCGGCUAACUACGUG